Molecule: transfer RNA, 73 nt
Filed under: Ictidomys tridecemlineatus (thirteen-lined ground squirrel)
Lineage: Eukaryota; Metazoa; Chordata; Mammalia; Rodentia; Sciuridae
Description: Spermophilus tridecemlineatus (thirteen-lined ground squirrel) tRNA
Rfam family: tRNA
About the family: Transfer RNA (tRNA) molecules are approximately 80 nucleotides in length.
Source: Rfam by way of RNAcentral
GGGGAUAUAGCUCAGUUGGUAGAGUGCUUGCCGUACAUGUGCAAUGCCCUGGGUUCAAUCCCCAGUACUACCA